AGGUCAUUGCUAUUGGAGUCCGAUUUAGCCAUGCUAGUUGUACGAGUUUAGACUCGUAGCAGAUAGCUCAGUAACACGUGGCCAAACUACCCUAUCGAGCACGAUACUCUCGGGAAACUGAGGUUAAUAGUGCAUACGGCUCGCUGCCUGGAGUGGCGCGAGCUAGAAAUGCUCAGGCGCGAUAGGAUGUGGCUGCGGCCGAUUAGGUAGACGGUGGGGUAACGGCCCACCGUGCCGAUAAUCGGUACGGGUUGUGAGAGCAAGAGCCCGGAGACGGUAUCUGAGACAAGAUACCGGGCCCUACGGGGCGCAGCAGGCGCGAAACCUUUACACUGCACGAGAGUGCGAUAAGGGGACUCCAAGUGCGAGGGCAUAUAGUCCUCGCUUUUUCCGACCGUAGGAUGGUCGGCGAAUAAGUGCUGGGCAAGACCGGUGCCAGCCGCCGCGGUAAUACCGGCAGCACAAGUGAUGACCGCUAUUAUUGGGCCUAAAGCGUCCGUAGCUGGCCACGCAAGUCCAUCGGGAAAUCUCUCCGCUCAACGGAGAGGCGUCCGGUGGAAACUGCAUGGCUUGGGACCGGAAGAUCCAGAGGGUACGUCUGGGGUAGGAGUGAAAUCCUGUAAUCCGAGACGGACCACCGGUGGCGAAAGCGCUCUGGAAAGACGGAUCCGACGGUGAGGGACGAAAGCUCGGGUCACGAACCGGAUUAGAUACCCGGGUAGUCCGAGCUGUAAACGAUGUCUGCUAGGUGUGGCACAGGCUACGAGCCUGUGCUGUGCCGUAGGGAAGCCGUGAAGCAGACCGCCUGGGAAGUACGUCUGCAAGGAUGAAACUUAAAGGAAUUGGCGGGGGAGCACUACAACCCGGAGGAGCCUGCGGUUU
RNAcentral lists this ribosomal RNA (882 nucleotides) under uncultured archaeon. Its description in RNAcentral is "SSU rRNA". It matches the Rfam family "Archaeal small subunit ribosomal RNA", at positions 21 to 903 of the family's 1478-position model. The record is from RNAcentral.